GGACCCGCACAAGUAGUGGAGCAUGUGGUUUAAUUCGAAGAUACGCGCAGAACCUUACCAACACUUGACAUGUUCGUCGCGACUCUAAGAGAUUAGAGUUUUCGGUUCGGCCGGACGAAACACAGGUGCUGCAUGGCUGUCGUCAGCUCGUGUCGUGAGAUGUUGGGUUAAGUCGGAUAACGAGCGCAACCCUUACCCUUAUUUGCCAGCGAUUCGGUCGGGAAACUAUAAGGGGACUGCCGGUGAUAAAACCGGAGGAAGGUGAGGACGACGUCAAGUCAUCAUGGCCCUUACGAGUAGGGCUACACACGUGCUACAAUGGGAAUACAGAGGGCAGCUACCGGGUGACCGGAUGCG
This 357-nucleotide ribosomal RNA is filed under the name uncultured bacterium. RNAcentral describes it as "bacterial SSU rRNA". It matches the Rfam family "Bacterial small subunit ribosomal RNA", at positions 917 to 1269 of the family's 1533-position model. The record is from RNAcentral.